This 253-nucleotide ribosomal RNA is filed under the name uncultured bacterium. RNAcentral describes it as "partial 16S ribosomal RNA". It matches the Rfam family "Bacterial small subunit ribosomal RNA", at positions 524 to 776 of the family's 1533-position model. The record is from RNAcentral.
UACGUAGGUGUCGAGCGUUAUCCGGAAUUACUGGGCGUAAAGGGCACGCAGGCGGCUGUUCAAGUUCGGCGUGAAAGCUCCCGGCUAAACUGUGAGAGGCCGUUGAAAACUGCAUGGCUUGAGGCAAUGAGAGGGAUGCGGAAUUCCCGAUGUAGUGGUGGAAUGCGUAGAUAUCGGGAAGAACACCAGUGGCGAAAGCGGCAUCCUGGCAUUGACCUGACGCUGAGGUGCGAAAGCGUGGGUAGCGAACGGG